AUGCUUAAGUCUGUCAGAAUCAUGUUAGCAAUUGCUGCAUUUUAUGAUUAUGAAAUUUGGCAGAUGGAUGUCAAAACUGCAUUCCUGAAUGGAUUUCUGGAAGAAGAGUUGUAUAUGAUGCAACCGGAAGGUUUUAUCGAUCCAAAGGAAGCUAACAAAGUGUGCAAGCUCCAGCGAUCCAUUUAUGGACUGGUGCAAGCCUCUCGGAGUUGGAAUAAACGCUUUGAUAGUAUGAUCAAAGCAUUUGGUUUUAUACAGACUUUCGGCGAAGCCUGUAUUUACAAGAAAGUGAGUGGGAGCUCUGUAGCAUUUCUGAUAUUAUAUGUGGAUGACAUAUUGCUGAUUGGAAAUGAUAUAGAAUUUCUGGAUAGCAUAAAGGGAUACUUGAAUAAGAGUUUUUCGAUGAAAGACCUCGGUGAAGCUGCUUACAUAUUAGGCAUAAUGACCUAUAGACAUAGAUCAAGACGCUUAAUUUGA
This 477-nucleotide ribosomal RNA is filed under the name Triticum aestivum (bread wheat). RNAcentral describes it as "partial small subunit ribosomal RNA". Lineage: Eukaryota; Viridiplantae; Streptophyta; Magnoliopsida; Poales; Poaceae. The record is from RNAcentral.